UGGAAAGCACGGAGAGUCCAUCUUCAGUUU
Molecule: non-coding RNA, 30 nt
Filed under: Rattus norvegicus (Norway rat)
Lineage: Eukaryota; Metazoa; Chordata; Mammalia; Rodentia; Muridae
Source: RNAcentral